ACAGCAGCCACACACACACACAGCAAAAUGCCUGAAGCUGAGGUAGUAUACUCCGAUGUGAAGCUUGCAAGAGGAAAAAAGAGAGCCAAUGAGGCCGUUACCACAUCGACUGACUCGACUUACUCUGAAAUCAAGAUCUCAAAGACUCAGCCAUCCACAGCAGAGCUGUCUGAGGAUCCUCAACAAGCUGUGGUGAGGAAAGGGUCAAAGGUCACCUCAGAGAGAGUGGUCCUGGUGGUUCUCGGUGU
Non-coding RNA from Maylandia zebra (zebra mbuna), 248 nucleotides. The record is from RefSeq and is a predicted model, not a curated record. Lineage: Eukaryota; Metazoa; Chordata; Actinopteri; Cichliformes; Cichlidae.